GACGAACGCUGGCGGCGUGCUUAACACAUGCAAGUCAGGGGGGCCCGAGCAAUGGGCAACCGGCGAACGGGUGCGUAACACGUGAGCAACCUACCGAACUGUGGGGGAUAGCCGGCCUAACGGCCGAGUAAUACCGCAUACGCUUUCAGUGAGGCAUUUCAUUGAAAGGAAACCUACGGGACAGAUCGAGGGGCUCGCGGCCUAUCAGCUAGUUGGCGAGGUAACGGCUCACCAAGGCAACGACGGGUAGCUGGUCUGAGAGGAUGGCCAGCCACAUUGGGACUGAGAUACGGCCCAGAUCCUACGGGAGGCAGCAGUGGGGAAUCUUGCGCAAUGGCCUAACGGCUGACGCAGCGACGCCGCGUGUGGGAUGAAGCUCUUCGGAGUGUAAACCACUGUUGCCCGGGACGAAUAGCUCGAUUAGUCGAGCCUGACGGUACCGGGUGAGGAAGCACCGGCUAACUCCGUGCCAGCCG
This 476-nucleotide ribosomal RNA is filed under the name uncultured bacterium. RNAcentral's name for it is "bacterial SSU rRNA". It matches the Rfam family "Bacterial small subunit ribosomal RNA", at positions 28 to 514 of the family's 1533-position model. The record is from RNAcentral.